This 458-nucleotide ribosomal RNA is filed under the name uncultured bacterium. RNAcentral's name for it is "partial 16S ribosomal RNA". It matches the Rfam family "Bacterial small subunit ribosomal RNA", at positions 338 to 795 of the family's 1533-position model. The record is from RNAcentral.
CCUACGGGAGGCUGCAGUGGGGAAUAUUGCACAAUGGGGGAAACCCUGAUGCAGCGACGCCGCGUGAGUGAAGAAGUAAUUCGUUACGUAAAGCUCUAUCAGCAGGGAAGAAAUACUGACCUUACGGUCAGCAGACGGUACCUGAUUAAGAAGCCACGGCUAACUACGUGCCAGCAGCCGCGGUAAUACGUAGGGGGCAAGCGUUAUCCGGAUUUACUGGGUGUAAAGGGAGCGUAGACGGUGCGCCAAGUCUGGAGUGAAAUGCCGCGGCUUAACUGCGGAACUGCUUUGGAAACUGGCGAACUAGAGUGCGGGAGGGGUAAGCGGAAUUCCUAGUGUAGCGGUGAAAUGCGUAGAUAUUAGGAGGAACACCGGUGGCGAAGGCGGCUUACUGGACCGUAACUGACGUUGAGGCUCGAAAGCGUGGGGAGCAAACAGGAUUAGAUACCCGGGUAGUC